UGGAUGACUUUUGAGUCUUUAGGAUUCGUGGGCUCUACAAACUAGUUUGUGGGCCCUAAUAACAGGGACACUCUUUUUAUGUUUUGCAAAAUGGGUAAUGAUUUGUUGACGAUCGAUGUGAUUGAUUGUCUUCGCUUAGGUUGUGGAAGAUGAUGAUGUAAGAAGAAGCCAUUCUGAAUUUGAUGCCGUGUUUGGUAACGACAAACAAUUAUCAUUUUAGAUUUCAUACAUUCAGCAGGGGACAUUGGAAGAUCCCUCAAGUAUUUAAGGAAUCACUAAUUUCAAUUAUUCAGGAUGAGCAACUGAAGCCAUGUCCAAAGUCUUGGUGGGGAGUUAGAUCUGUUUUUCAUACCUGUACCCGCGUCAUGUCACUUGGACACGAGUAUUUGGAGGUAAAUUGAAGAAGGGACAGAGCAUCAGAGGCACUAUCACCAUUGAUUUUCCUCAGAAAAAUUAAUCUCUUUGCCUCAAUAAAGUCCUCACUGUUAAUCUUCCUCUGUACUCACUGGUAGAGGCAGCUCUCCGUGUUGCUUAUGAACAUGUCUUCACCAUACAAGUAGAUGAUUAUAUUGACAUGACAGUUCAGUUUUUGAGACCGAUCAUGCCUAUUGUCAAGAACUUACAAUUGUGUGAUUCUACUAUGAGACGCUAUCAGACACAGUUCAUAAGAAGUUGCCUGGCUUUGACAAUCUUCCUGAUUUCAGAAUUUGACUCGUUUGGAGAUUGAAGCUAGUGGAAAUGAUCGUUGGUUGGUCUUGCAAGAGAUAUUCAAAUGCUCUCCUAAGGUGGAAGUCUUCAUCUUACACAAGGACAUGGUCAGUUCCUUUAAGAUACAUACUUGCUAUGUUUUCUGCAAGUAAGAUCGGAAUUGUUCUUCUUACUGACUUUAAAUCAUUCAGAUGGAGAAAACUGCCGAAUCAUUGAGGAGCAUAAUUCAAUAUGUUAUAACAUAAAUCAAGUAACUCUACAUCAUUAUAAUGAUAAAAGGAGGAGCAUAAUUCAAUAUGUUUAUUGUCUUUGUAUUUCAGGUCAUAGGCUUUAUUUUCCAUUGAAAGAUAAUAUGUAAAUGACAAGUUCAUGGUUUACAAUGGCAGAAGACUUUCAUUUUUACAAGGAAAAACCAUUAUUUAUGUAUAAUGUUCGAAAUAUAAGAGAUCCACAUUCAUAUUU
Long non-coding RNA from Populus trichocarpa (black cottonwood), 1170 nucleotides. RefSeq lists it as uncharacterized. The transcript has 5 exons. The record is from RefSeq and is a predicted model, not a curated record. Lineage: Eukaryota; Viridiplantae; Streptophyta; Magnoliopsida; Malpighiales; Salicaceae.